GGGCUCGGACGGCAUUAUGCCGCGAACCUGGUCAGGUCCGGGAGGAAGCAGCCAUAAGUGGCCGCUGAUGAGCGUCCGGGUCUGCU
Molecule: signal recognition particle RNA, 86 nt
Filed under: bovine gut metagenome
Description: Bacterial small signal recognition particle RNA
Rfam family: Bacterial small signal recognition particle RNA
About the family: The signal recognition particle (SRP) is a universally conserved ribonucleoprotein involved in the co-translational targeting of proteins to membranes. Archaeal SRP consists of a 7S RNA and homologues of the eukaryotic SRP19 and SRP54 proteins. In most bacteria, the SRP consists of a 4.5S RNA and the Ffh protein (a homologue of the eukaryotic SRP54 protein).
Source: RNAcentral